This 534-nucleotide ribosomal RNA is filed under the name uncultured archaeon. Its description in RNAcentral is "bacterial SSU rRNA". It matches the Rfam family "Archaeal small subunit ribosomal RNA", at positions 321 to 854 of the family's 1478-position model. The record is from RNAcentral.
ACCAACGGGGUGCAGCAGGCGCGAAAACUUUGCAAUGUGCGAAAGCACGACAAGGUUAAUCCGAGUGAUUUCUGCUAAAGAAAUCUUUUGCUAGUCCUAGAAACACUAGUGAAUAAGGGGUGGGCAAGUUCUGGUGUCAGCCGCCGCGGUAAAACCAGCACCUCAAGUGGUCAGGAUGAUUAUUGGGCCUAAAGCAUCCGUAGCUCGUUUUGUAAGUUUUCGGUUAAAUCCAUACGCUUAACGUAUGGGCUGCCGGGAAUACUGCAUAACUAGGAAGUGGGAGAGGUAGACGGUACUCGGUAGGAAGGGGUAAAAUCCUUUGAUCUAUUGAUGACCACCUGUGGCGAAGGCGGUCUACCAGAACACGUUCGACGGUGAGGGAUGAAAGCUGGGGGAGCAAACCGGAUUAGAUACCCGGGCAGUCCCAGCUGUAAACUAUGCAAACUCAGUGAUGCAUUGGCUUGUGGCCAAUGCAGUGCUGCAGGGAAGCCGUUAAGUUUGCCGCCUGGGAAGUACGUACGCAAGUAUCCGGGA